CAGCCAAGAGAGGGCCAGUGAGGGCCGAACUAGAUAGAAAGGGGCUGCUCCUGGGUCUUGUAAGCGGGAUGUGCUACUCGGCCUGUGGGCCCUACUUCAACUGUCUAAGGGGCCAUAGUGGUAGGUAGUGAGGCUCUGAGGAGGGGCAAGUAGUGGUGGCAAUAGAGCAGUGAGGGAGACACAAGGGGAAGGUAUGAGUCAGGGUUCUUCUCAGCCUGGGAAAAGAAAUCCCUCCUUCCUCAACAGCGGUUCACAGAACACUUAGCAUUGAUAUACUACUCUGGGCCAGAGUUUCCAACGUUAGACAGACUUAUUGGGAAGCCACCCCCGGUUAGGCGCUCUUCUUCUGUGUCCUUGUAACAUCGCUUAGUCCUUACACAGCAGCUUAGCAUGCUGUGUUGUAGUUGCGUAAUUAUAAACCUUUUAAGAGAGGGGCUGUAUUGUAUUCGCUCUUAUGUCCUUAAAGCCUAGCAUGGCACCUACCAUAUAGCAACCACUUAACAAAUACUUUUCUUUUUUGGUAAAUGCUUCUCAAGUAGAAACAAAUACUUUUUCAAUCAGAGGAAUACAUAAUUUUGAGCAGGAAAAUCCUUUAAUUAUUUUUUUGGAUCAGCAUUCUCUUGAAUGACCCUGAUUUUAGUAGUUGCCUGUACAGGGAGAAGCCACAGUGUGUCUGGUGGUGUCAGCUGCUGGUUCGUAUUGCUUUCCUUAUCCUUCCAGUGCUAGAGAGCACAAUUAGAGACAAGGUUUUCCCCAAACAGUUCUAAUCUAAAAUAUUCUGUCCUGGUCACCCUAGAAGCACGUGUAAACUUGUCAAUCCAUGUGCUUUGAUUUUUAUUUGAAAAUAUAUUCAACAGAAACUAAUGACAUGAAUACUCUGAGAUAGGACUGGCUGCAAAACAUGUAUGGCGUUCACUAGUCUCCUCCUGGGUUCAAGCAAUUCUCCUGUCUCAGCCUCCCGAGUAGCUGGGACUACAGGCGCCCACCACUACACCCAGCUAAUUUUUUGUGUUUUUAGUAGAGACAGGUUUCACCAUGUUGGCCAGUCUCACUUGAACUCCCGACUUCAAGUGAUCUGUCUGCCUCAACCUCCCAAAGUGUUGGGAU
Molecule: long non-coding RNA, 1107 nt
Filed under: Pan troglodytes (chimpanzee)
Lineage: Eukaryota; Metazoa; Chordata; Mammalia; Primates; Hominidae
Description: long non-coding RNA NONPTRT003568
Source: RNAcentral